GAACCUUAUUAAACCAAACGCAAACCCUAGCAUCCCGAAUUCGCCAGUCGCCAUGAAGUCGUUCCGGCGCUGGGCUGACCUGCCGCCGGAUUUCCUCUGCUGCAUCGGAGACCGGCUCGAGCUCAAGUGGUACGCCAGCGCGCGGGGCGUCUGCACGUCGUGGCGCCGCGCGCUCGUGCCGCCGUCGCCCGCGCUCCUCGUGAUCGCGAAGAGCGACAGCUGUUACCCCUACGCCGCCGCAUCCCUGCCCACGGGGAGGUCCUUCGAGCUCACCGCCUUCAUCUCAGGAUGGCGCUGCGUCGGAUCCAGCAACGGCUGGCUCGCGUUCUCCGUCCACGAGACCGUCUACGUGCUCCUCAACCCCAUCGCCGCGGUGCAAAUCAUCCUCCCACCGCUUAACUACGGGGACGAGUACAAUAGCCACUGGGACUGGUGGGUUUCCAAGAUCGUCUUCACCCCGAGCACCGCCAAGGAUGACUUCGCUGCCGCCGCGAUCUGCGGCAUCGACAGGAUCGCGUACAUCACCGCCGGUGCCACGAGGUGGGCCUUCAUGGGCGUCCGCCUCAGCGGGGAGGUCGGGGACAAGCUCACCGACGUCGUCUACACUGACAAAGGUAAAUUCUACUGUCUCUCCAUGUACGGGGACGUGCAUGUACUCCGUCUCCCUGCGCGCCGGUGCCGGAAGCCUGCCAACGCCGAAGAGGCGGGGUCCUCAGAGCUAAAGUUCUCUGUUCUCCGGCCGCUGCCGCCUGCUAGACAUUCAAGUAUUGUCUCCCCGCUGUGUUGGGAAAAUUAUCAGAUGCUAUUGAUGAGUGAGGACGAAGUUCCACCUUCGCAAGGACGACGCCUGAAUCCACCGGCCACUCUUAAACCCCUGUUGCCGCGGUUCGGCCCUACCACUCUAUUUGCUCCACCUUAUGACACCGUGAGGGAUUUCACUAGCGCCAAGAACUUGGUGUUCUGUGACGGCAAUCUGUACCAAGUUUGGAGGAACGAAAGCUGCACCGUGACUCUGCGUCUGCCUGCUGGGGGUCAGCGUCGUGUGGCCGAAAAUGAGAUAGUGGUGCUGAAGUACUGUCCUGGGCGCCAGCCUUCCUGGGAUGUGGUGAAGGACCUAGGAGGUUACUCACUCUUUGUGGGAACGAACAAUGCAGUGUCAAUGUAUGCAGAGGGUGUGCCGGGACUGAGGGGCAACUGUGUAUACUGGAUUGGCGGCCGUGCUACGAGGAAUAAGGGCAUGGUCUUUGACAUGAAAUCUGGGAGGUCCACGCCGUGCAGGGCUCCUCAGGCUGGCUCUUUACCUGGUGGUCAUGAUUAUAGCACAGUCUGCUGGUACUUCAUGAGCGAUGUAAUCAACAACAGCUACAACGGUAGCAGGCAAAAUGUUGAAGAAUGAUUGUCUGGCCGAACUUAUAUUGAGUUUAUCCCCUAUAUGGUCUUGAGAGUCAGAGCUUGAUCUCAAGGCAAAGCAUAAUCUUGAAGGGAAGGCUGAGGAACUGCCAAGCCCUGUUCCCUAAAAUAAUGUCGAGUUAGUUUACUUUCCUGUGUGGCCCCUAAAAUGUUUUUAUGUUUAUUCAAUCUUUGCUGUGUUGAAAUAAUUCCAUGGUCAUCUCCUUGAAUGUAAAACUCUCUUUGCUUCUCUCUUUUAUAUGAAUUAGCAGUGCUCUUGCUUCAGUUGC
RNA transcript from Zea mays, 1679 nucleotides. It is a transcript of the gene named protein-like pseudogene, with no coding region annotated. Lineage: Eukaryota; Viridiplantae; Streptophyta; Magnoliopsida; Poales; Poaceae. The record is from RefSeq and is marked validated. The transcript has a single exon.